Molecule: small nucleolar RNA, 126 nt
Organism: Phyllostomus discolor (pale spear-nosed bat)
Lineage: Eukaryota; Metazoa; Chordata; Mammalia; Chiroptera; Phyllostomidae
Source: RefSeq, a predicted model, not a curated record
GUGCACAUUUCAUUGUCUUUAGGCUUUAUGUUAAGAGAAAACAUAUUUCUGAUGUGCUAAAACUUUUGGAGGUAAAUUGGUAGUAUGACUAACUUAGCCAUUACUGUCAGUCACCUUCAGACAAGU